This is a small nuclear RNA of Heterocephalus glaber (naked mole-rat), 151 nucleotides long. Its record names the gene U2. It matches the Rfam family "U2 spliceosomal RNA". From Rfam's summary of the family: U2 is a small nuclear RNA (snRNA) component of the spliceosome (involved in pre-mRNA splicing). The record is from Ensembl. Lineage: Eukaryota; Metazoa; Chordata; Mammalia; Rodentia; Bathyergidae.
AUUGCUUCUCAGCCUUUUGGCUAAGAUCAAGUGUAGUAUAGUAUGAUGGUGGUCUCAAAAUUUUAUUGCCUAAUGAUGUUAUAGCCAUCUGAGUUUGUACAAGUACACUCUGUGAUGUUCACACAAUGGUAAAAUCUCCUAAGUGACAUAU